GCGAAAAGUUGCAUGGUGUAGACCGAAACCCGGGUGACCUAUCCAUGGCCAGGUUGAAGCGAGAGUAAAAUCUCGUGGAGGACCGAACCACGUUGGUGUUGAAAAACCAUGGGAUGAGCUGUGGAUAGCGGAGAAAUUCCAAUCGAACUCGGAGAUAGCUGGUUCUCCUCGAAAUAGCUUUAGGGCUAGCGUCGUGUAAUUGAGUAAUGGAGGUAGAGCACUGAAUGGGCUAGGGGCUAUAGUAGUUACCGAACCCUAUCAAACUCCGAAUGCCAUAUACUUGUAUCACGGCAGUCAGACUGCGAAUGAUAAGAUCCGUAGUCAAAAGGGAAACAGCCCAGACCAUCAGCUAAGGUCCCAAAGUGUAAGUUAAGUGGAAAAGGAUGUGGGAUUUCUAAGACAACUAGGAUGUUGGCUUAGAAGCAGCCACUCAUUUAAAGAGUGCGUAAUAGCUCACUAGUCAAGAGAUCCUGCGCCGAAGAUGUCCGGGGCUCAAACUUACCACCGAAGCUAUGGGUGUACACUAUGUGUACGCGGUAGAGGAGCUUUCUGUAUGGGUUGAAGUCGUACCGUAAGGAGCGGUGGACUGUACAGAAGUGAGAAUGCUGGCAUAAGUAGCGAGAAAUAAGUGAGAAUCUUAUUGGCCGAAAACCUAAGGUUUCCUGGGGAAGGUUCGUCCGCCCAGGGUUAGUCGGGACCUAAGCCGAGGCCGAAAGGCGUAGGUGAUGGACAAUCGGUUGAUAUUCCGAUACCGCCUAUUUACGUUUGAGAAAUGGGGUGACGCAGUAGGAUAAGAUGUGCGCACUAUUGGAUGUGCGUCUAAGCAUUUAGGCAUGCUUGAUAGGUAAAUCCGUCAAGCUAAGCUGAGAUGUGAUGGGGAGCCAUUUAUGGCGAAGUAUCUGAUUCCACACUGCCAAGAAAAGCCUCUAUCGAGUGAAUAGGUGCCCGUACCGCAAACCGACACAGGUAGGUGAGGAGAGAAUCCUAAGGCCAUCGGAAGAAUUGCUGUUAAGGAACUCGGCAAAUUGACCCCGUAACUUCGGGAGAAGGGGUGCCUACGAAAGUAGGCCGCAGAGAAUAGGCCCAAGCAACUGUUUAGCAAAAACACAGGUCUCUGCUAAAGCGAAAGCUGAUGUAUAGGGGCUGACGCCUGCCCGGUGCUGGAAGGUUAAGGGGAACACUUAGCGUAAGCGAAGGUGUGAACUUAAGCCCCAGUAAACGGCGGCCGUAACUAUAACGGUCCUAAGGUAGCGAAAUUCCUUGUCGGGUAAGUUCCGACCCGCACGAAUGGCGUAAUGAUUUGGGCACUGUCUCAACAGCAAAUCCGGCGAAAUUGUAGUGCAAGUGAAGAUGCUUGCUACCCGCGAUUGGACGGAAAGACCCCGUAGAGCUUUACUGUAGCUUAGCAUUGAAUCUCGGUAUUGUCUGUACAGGAUAGGUGGGAGACUUAGAAACUUAGGCGUCAGCCUGAGUGGAGUCACCCUUGGGAUACCACCCUGACAGUACUGGGGUUCUAACCGGCGGCCAUGAAUCUGGUCACGGGACAUUGUUAGGUGGGCAGUUUGACUGGGGCGGUCGCCUCCUAAAAAGUAACGGAGGCGCCCAAAAGUUCCCUCAGCGCGGUCGGAAAUCGCGCGAAGAGUGCAAAGGCAGAAGGGAGCUUGACUGCGACACAUACAGGUGGAGCAGGGACGAAAGUCGGGCUUAGUGAUCCGGUGGUACCUCGUGGGAGGGCCAUCGCUCAACGGAUAAAAGCUACCUCGGGGAUAACAGGCUGAUCUCCCCCAAGAGUCCACAUCGACGGGGAGGUUUGGCACCUCGAUGUCGGCUCGUCGCAUCCUGGGGCUGAAGUAGGUCCCAAGGGUUGGGCUGUUCGCCCAUUAAAGCGGCACGCGAGCUGGGUUCAGAACGUCGUGAGACAGUUCGGUCCCUAUCCGUCGCGGGCGUAGGAAAUUUGAGAGGAGCUGUCCUUAGUACGAGAGGACCGGGAUGGACCAACCUCUGGUGCACCAGUUGUCACGCCAGUGGCACAGCUGGGUAGCUAUGUUGGGACUGGAUAAACGCUGAAAGCAUCUAAGCGUGAAGCCAACCUCAAGAUGAGAUUUCCCAUAGCGUAAGCUAGU
RNAcentral lists this ribosomal RNA (2123 nucleotides) under Clostridium botulinum Bf. RNAcentral describes it as "bacterial LSU rRNA". It matches the Rfam family "Bacterial large subunit ribosomal RNA", at positions 692 to 2829 of the family's 2925-position model. The record is from RNAcentral. Lineage: Bacteria; Bacillati; Bacillota; Clostridia; Eubacteriales; Clostridiaceae.